GGUAGUGUGGAUUGGGGUAUUUAAAAUGUAAUGAUGAAGAUGGUGCAGAAUGUGAAUUCAAGAUCCAUCCAUGUCAAUGUACUAACGAUUUCUAGGUUCAUGUUGCAUAGAGCAGCAGCAGCAAAGGCGUCUAAUUUUUGGCCCCAUAAUUGGUUUGUAUGAUGGGUGGAGCUUGGUGGAUGCUGGUGUCAUUGCUGUCACAUGUGUACUCGUACAGUAUCUGUUGUAUGUCUGAGUCUAUGUUUUCGGCUUAUACCAAAAAAAAAAAUUAUUUUCCACAUGGCUCUUCUUUUGUCUUUUGCACAUGCAAUGAAUGAGGAUGUAUGUCCACAUAAGCAGACAUGUCACGAUGAGAAAAAAGUUUUCUAUUGGCUAUCUGAAUCAAACCUCCAAACUUGUAAACCAUUUCAUUAUUAAUUCGUAUCCUUAUUCAUUUAUCUAAAGAACUGUUAUUAAUUUAUUUCUUCAUGAAAGGGUGUACCAGUUUCGAACAGAAUUCUAGGAUGUUUUCCCUGUUAUCGCAAAGGUGAAGUUGAUUUUUUUGCAUGCUUUAAAAUUACAUAUGUAUAUAAUUAAAAGACAUGCUAUAAUUAAUUAUACAUUUUUUUAGCAUAAAAUAAUUAUCCUAAAUAUAAUAAAAAUAUUGAAUAGUAUCAAUUCAAAUUAUUGGAUAGUGUUAAUGUAGAAAACUAACUAAAAAUAAGCCACUUUCAAGAUAAAUUACAUGUUUUAUGCAUGAUAUUAAUUUCACCUAGACGUACAUUUGACAGAAAACAAUUCAAUUUGAUUUUAAUACAAGCAAAUUCACUUGUAAUAGGUGAAUGGGAUCAUUAUCAAAAUUAGAGAUAGCAAAAAAUCUAGCACUUGCAGAUAUUUGUGGGCACUCAGCUCCUUAACAAAUGAUCAAUAAAGGUUUUACUGUUCCAAAUACUACUCCAAUCUACUGUAGAGGAUCUGCAUUCUACUUAAAUUCCAUCAUUAUAUACAAAAUAAUUUAUUUUAAUUUAUUUAGUAAAAAUAUAUUUCAAUUUUUUUUUCAUAUAAAUAUGUUUCAAAAUUAUUUUUUUUAAUAUAAAUGUGUUUUAAAAUUUCUUAUUUUUAAUUUAUUUUUUUACUUGUAAAAUUUGUUGAUACUCACCUAACAGAUAUCCGUGCAAAUAUGGACAAGUGAUGAGGGACUCCUACCUGUAUUUGUCCUGCCUUGCAUCCCUACUCAAAAUAAUUCACUUAUGCAUACUCAUCUACCAUUUUUCACUAAGUUUUACUUUAUUCUUCUUAAGCAAUGGAAGGAAACCGACAAAAGGGAACAAAUAAUAUACAGUAGAUGAUAAAUGAAUUACUUAACAUAAACUUUACUUUUUUAGUUUGCAAUUCAAGAAUUGUUACUAUGAGAAUUACUUUAUUUGACCAUCUUUAGCUCAAGGAUUAGUUUCUUAGUUAUGUUUAUAGGAAUGCCUUAUCAAAUAUUAAAAACUUAAAUAUGUUUUUAAUUUUCAUAUAUUAAUGGUUUUUCAUUUUUUGUCCAUACAAGUUUAUUUUUUAAUGUAAGUUUAUGUUUUUUUAAUUUUGGUUUCUAUCAGAUAUUUUGCAAGAAUUUGUAAGCAUUUACGAGACUAAAAUUAAAAAAAUAAACUUAUAUGAACCAAAAUUUUUUAAAAAAUAUUAACGUACAGAAAUAAAAAAUAUACAUGUCUAUAAGAAAUAUCAUGUUGAAAAAUUAUCUUCUAAUACAUAAAAACGAUUAUAUUUCCAUCUAAAACGUAAAUCUCCCAUAAUGUAGAUAUGAAAAAUAUUGUUGAAUGUAUUUACACAAUGAAUGAAGAAUCUAGAAAAUAUUGUAUUUAUGAUACUGAAAAAAUGAUUUAAAAUUAUUUUGUAAUAAAUUAAUUUUAAUAUAAUGCAUUAGUAAAUUAAAUGCUUCAGGACUUUCAUAGAAAUAUAAAUUAAUACCCUCGUCCUUGAAAAAUUAAUUGUUUUGAUAAGUUGAUUUCAAUCAUAUUGAUGCUUGUUUAUCAACUACAUUUUCAACAACUUUUUUGGCAGCGAACGAAACCAAUUAUUUUCGUUCAUAUAUCACUUGUCCCAUAAUGUCAUUGUAAUAUUCAUAUCUCUAUUUCUCUCUAGAAUUUUAAUUGUAUAAUCAUAUAAUUUCAUAAAAGUAGAAAACAUCAUUUUGGCAUCAAAUUGAAGCUUUCCACUUGCGAAUUCAAUGGCCAACCGGAAUUUCCAAACGUUAGCUUAAUGCAUGUCUACUUCAAAAUAGCAUUAAGUUAGAACUACAUAUAUUUCAUUGAACUAGUCGUUCAAAUCUAAGGAUUUGUUUUGUAGAUAUACAUACUUACAAUACAACAACCCAUUUCUACUUGAUAUUCUCUAACUAGCCAUACAACAGAUAUUUGGAGCCUACACAAGUUAGAGGUUGUUAGCAAACUAGCACGGCUUUUGGAAGGCAAGCCUGGCCAUCAAUUGCCAAGUCUGGGCCACAUCCAAAUCACCAAGGACUUUAAAACCCAACAACCCCUUACUUAUCCUACGCAAUAUAGAGCAUAUGUUCAUUAUUUUCUUCUCUUCCCCUGCCACAAUAGCAUGAACUGCUUUAAUAAAAACGCAGCAAGAAACUAUGUAAUCAACAAGGAAUAUAACACAUUUAGUAAGUGUGCAUACCGUGCUUGCAUAAUCGUCCAUGGUUAACUGCUUGCGCUUCUUCAAAGAAGAUGGACUCUCUGUCUGUCUUGCCAAAGCACGCUUCGAUGGGGUCAUGCUCUGAAAUAUUAGUUAAACUUGAGUAUGAGAAAAAUUCAUAUUCAAAUUCUAUACUAUUAACACACAAUAUGACGAGAAACUAACUUUGGCAAGUUUCUUCUCUUUGCGAGCUUGUCUCUCCCUCUCAUCAUAUUCUUGGUUUUCCUUUUCUACCAGUCGAAUGAGGGUGUCACACCUCCUAGCCAGUUCUUGAGUGGUGCGAGAUUUGACAAACCAAUCAAAUCGAAACAAGGGUGAUGUUCGAAAUGCUGCCUUUAACUCAUCCCAGUUCCCAUAGCCAAGUUUGUGCACCAUGCAUAUCUGUAAAUUUAUAGCAAUUUUUUUAGAAACCGAUAGAAGGAUGAUGGAGCUAGACCUAGAAAGAAAAAAAAAAUUGAAAGACAUAAAAUUUGUACCAUGAAUCUGUCACAUUCUUCAUUGUACAACUUCCCUUUGUUUUGCCCAUACUGUAUCUUCAACUCUAGCCACGGAUUCUUGUAGCGGUCCAACUUCUUUCCAAUAGCUUUCAUGAUCUCAUCUUUCCGAGAAAUUCUUGCCUCCCCCCUUUCAAUGUUUUUAAUAAUUCUGUCAUAAUCUGCAGACAAUGAUUCAAAAUGCACAAAUUAGGCAGAACCUUGACAUUCUAAACAGAAAGUAAUUUCCAAAAAAAGUUAAUAACAAAGCCUUAUCCCACUAGGUGAAUAUGAACACCUACACACAUGCACGAUAAAAAGAAUCAAUACAGAAAUGUGCUGCAUUUUAACUCAACACAGCACAGAAUAAGUCCAAAUCAAAAUAUGAAUCACUCAAGUUGCUGGUUAAGCAAAAUGAUUUUUGCCAAAAGACUACUACAAACUAGCAGAUAUAAACAUUCAUUUGGAUUUGGCUAAGUAUUUUUCUUCCACACUUAAAUAAUCAACAAAAUCCAUAGAAGAAUUGGCUGUAACUGUAACUGUAACAUACCAUUUAAUUCCUUGUAUCUUUCUUUAAAGACCUUUGCAUAUCUUUCAACUUCCUCCUCGGUUUUUCCUUCCAUCUCAGAAGCAAUACUUUGUAUAUCAUUUCGGCCAUAUUUUUCGCAGGCCCUAAUGAAAGUAUUAAAAUCCCUCCGGCUCCAUGAAGAAAAUCCCUAUAUUAACCAAAUAAUAAAAAUAAAAAAGGGUCCAUGUGAAAGCCUAGUUUGCAAAAAAAGGGGAAAAAUGUUUACCUCUUCUAGCAAGCGCUCCUUUUCUUCCAACUCUUCAGCUGUCAAUGGAUCUCCCACCUCUAAACAUUCAUUUCAUCACAAUUAAAAUUAACAUACAUGUAGAAAGGAGGAGUCAAAGUACUAGUCUGGAGAGUACCCACAUACCUUCUGGUUCAUCAACAUCUAUUGAAUCCUUUAUCUGAUUCCUCUGGUGUGUUUGCUGCAAUUUUAUAAAAUAAUAAGCACCAAACAAUAUACCAAUUUGUUGAGCUAAAGCUAAAUCUAAAAAGCUAAAAACAUGAACUGUAGCAAAUUCUUUUUUGCUUACACCUACCAUGAGAUAGCGUACUUCCUUUUCAUACAGCUCACUCAACCUUUGUGUGUUGAAAAAUUGGAAAUCAUGCCUGGAGGUCAAAGAACAAAAAAAUAUCAGUAAGUAAAUAACGGAGGUACUAUGCUAACUGUUAAGAAGAAAAAUCAAGUGUAGAAGCUUACAACUGGGGCAUCCUAGGAAUACGGGGCUCUUUUGGUUUGGUAGGACCACCUUGGCGCAUUGUUUGCUUGAAGUAUUCAGACUCUGAGUAACUAUGAGCAAGAACCCCAGAAAAAGAAAACCAUCAUCUUGUCAUAAAAGCAAAAUACCAAAUCAAUAUGGAUGCAUAAAAUGUAAAGGGCAACGCUUACUUGCGCUUCCGCUCCCUUUUGGGUGGUUCAAUCCAGUUCUCACUCACAAUUUUUUUUAUAUCAAAUCUGCUUUCAUCCUUUAUUUAAAAAGGGAAAUUGAUAUGCCAAUGUCAGUUAAAUAGAUAACAAGGGAAAGGAGGAGAGUAGGGUUGAUACAAAGCAAUACAAAAAGUUGCCAAAGAUAAAACAAUGUGUCAUGUUUACCUUCUCAUCAUCAAAAUCAUAUAACUCGGCAGCUACAAAAAGAAAGCACCAGUAUUAGUAACUAUAAACUACAGACAGAAGAAAGCAUAAAACUUGUAAAGAUCAUGCCAAUAUUGUUUUUAAAGCUAGAAUUAUAGGCACAUACUGUCAUCCAUCUUAAAUUUGAUGGCAUCUUCAGUAAAUUUCUUCAUCUUGGCAUCUAGCUCAGCAGUUGCCUCCUCUCCUUUAGCAAUAAUUCUAUCAAUAUCUUCAUCUGUAAUUGUACUAUCCUUGGAACUGAAAACCAUUUCAGCCCCAAAUCUAACCAUUUGAAGCAAUUCAUCUUUAUUUACCGCUGCACAUAAAAGCCAAUGGAACCAUAUUAGACAAUCCACACAACUUUCAGCAAAGAAACAAGAAAAGUUAUUCAUUGAAUUCCUACUCUUCUGCUCAGCCAAUCGCCCUUGCUGAAUCACCAGAGCAUCAAGUGCAAGCUUUUUGUAGGCCCUUUCAAUGACUUUCUCUUCUAUUGUAUACUGUACCAUUACAAAUUACAAUGACGAGAUGAGAUACUAACACACACAGAGUGAACAAUGAAUUGGAAAUUAAAAUAAAGUUUAAAAUUGCAAACCUCAGUACAAAAUCGGAAAACUUGAACUUCUUUCUUUUGACCAAUCCUAUGAGCACGAUCCUGAGCCUGCAAGUCAACUUGUGGGUUCCUGUUGUAAAAGCACCAACCAUCAACAAAAUAAUUUUGGUACAGAUAUAAAUCAGAUGGCUGAGUCCAUAACUACUUGAAAUACUGACCAGUCACUAUCGUACAGAAUGACAACAUCAGCAGUAGCAAGAUUAAUACCAAGACCUCCAGCACGAGUUGAUAACAAGAAGACAAAUUUCUCACUUCCUGGUUUGUUGAAAGCAUCAAUGGAAGCAUCUCGAUCAUCCCCACCAGUAUUUCCAUCAAUGCGACAAUAUUGAUAUCCACGAAACAUUAAAUAAUCUUCGAGUAUGUCUAGCAGCCUAGUCAUCUGGGGAGAAAAGCCACAAAUUAGGUACAGAAGAAAAUUCAAAAGGCAGAAAUAAAUGAGAGCAAACAAAAACAGGUUGCAAAAUAUAAGGCAUUCACAAUCAUCAGCGACAAGAAUCACAUUCUGACAGAACUGACCUGUGAAAAUAUAAGGACCCUAGAAUCGCGCUCUUUCAAUUUAGGAAGUAACUUAUCCAAAAGAACCAUUUUACCUGGAAACAAUAUUUUUACAACAUGAAAUAAUCUCAGAUUUUAUUCAUCAACCUAAAAAGAAUGUCCGCAGUAUCUCUUAAUGUAUGUAGAGUUUACCAGCGUUUUCAAUAAGAUGAUCUCCUGUAGUGAAGGGAGGACCAGGUUCAGCACCUUGGAAAAGAUAUGGAUGAUUACAACAUUUGCGGAGUUGCAUAGCUAUGUUCAGGAGGCGCUUCCGUUCACCACCAGCGUUUACAACCUCAAGAUCCUUCUGAAGUAGGGCUCUAUAAUACUGUUUCUGCAUUUGGGACAUGCCUACUUUAAGAAUAGUUUCCUUUUUUGGUGGCAAUCCUUUCUCAACAUCUGACUUCAACCUUCGAAGGAGAAAUGGUCGGAGGACCUUGAUAUACAUAGAAAAUGAAAAUGACAAUUAUGUGCCAGAUUAACAUCAAGGACUUCCAACAAUCAAAAGAAGGUUCUGUAAUUUACCUUGUGUAAUUGUUGAACAACCUCCUGUUGAUCAUUUUCACCAGAGAUUUGAAACCAUUCAUCAAAAGUUUCAGCAGAACUAAAAAUUUCGGGCAGAAGAAAGUUGAGAAGAGACCAGAGUUCAUGAAGGUUAUUCUGUGCCAAUAAAAGUGAUAAUAGACACUAGUAAAUAUUUGAGGAUGCAUACAAACAAACAAAAAAAAUAAUUAAGAUUUCAAAACAAGGUAGAAAAGCAUAUAAUUAAGAAAUUUAAGCUGCUAGACAGUUGAAAACCAACAACACCAAAGAACAAUAUUAAGUUUUAACCAAGCUAUGAAUCAUUUAUUCAAUCUUAAUUGACUGUUUAAGAAAAAUCUUAUCAGAAAAACAUAAUGCCUAAUGCAUCACCUCUAAUGAAAUGUUGCUACAUACCACAUAGUAAAGGUUCCCCAGAAGAAUAGCUAAUUAUAUUUUAAUUUUUUUUUUCCUUACUCAAAUAGCAAUUUCCAAAACUGAUGCUAUUCACUCCCCUCCAGCACUACUACAACUAAGGAGGAUCAUAAUAGUAUGACAAAUUUAGAAUUUAAACAAUGCAGCCAGUGAGUGUAUACUCUGUAAGUUAAGUUAACUUACAGAGUAUACACUCACAUAGCCCAACCCUCCAUCACUACUAGCAGUUUCUUUAUUUCAAAAUUCACUGAGAUUAGUAUAGAAUACAGAUGAGAUCACACUAAUUUCAAUUAAAUUGAGAAAAUUGGCACCACACCACCUCCAUGUUUAUUAGUAUGGACCAAUAAAUUAAACAAAUUAAAGAUAAGAAAAAACCAUUCUUCAGGUGACUACAUCAUUAUGGAUAAUACAACAAGUCAUACCUGAAGUGGCGUGCCAGUAAUAAGGAGACGGUAGUUUGUACUGUAGAGCCUCAUUGUUUUGGACAGCAAGGAAUUCUCAUUCUUGAUUCGAUGAGCUUCAUCAAUAAUUAUGUAGCGCCAACUAAAUCGACGCAAAGCAGACUUCUCCUUGAUUGCCAUUUCAAAACUUGUGACACAAACAUCAAACUUCCCGGCAACCAACAAUUCAUCUCUGAUAUGUCUCUGUAGCAAGUCAAAACCAUUAGGAAAAACAGUUCAAAUUAAGCAUCAACUGUAACCUUUGCCACAAUAAUUCAACUCAGUAAAGAUGGUCUUACCCUUUCAUCGGGGUUGCCAAGAAACUUGAUUGCACGAAGAACAGGACAAAAGCGCCGAAUCUCAUUCAUCCAAUUUCCAAGAGUAGAUUUUGGAGCAACCACCAUAUGAGGACCUUUGAUUCCUCGGAACUCGUGCAAAUAACCUAAUAAGGAUAUAGUUUGCAAUGUUUUACCAAGCCCCUGCAAAUCACAUCUAUUUGUCAUUACUUAUCUAAACCAACUUAUCAACAUCUAAGCCUUACCCCUAUUAGUGGGAUAACUAAAUCACCUCAGUCUAUCAAAUUACACAUGACAAAGCAACUUGCAUUUACAUGCAGUUAAUUCAAUUAGACACAACUGCAAGCCCACCAAACACCUACCAUUUCAUCAGCCAGAAUUCCAUUUAUUCCAUUCUCAUACAAUCGUAUGAGCCAGUUUAGUCCAGCCAGCUGGUAAUCCCUCAUUUUCCCUUGGAUACCUGUAAUGAAUAAAAAACAAGCAAUGAGCAUUCAAGACACAAGAAAAAAAAAUCAAAAAUACUAUAAAUGAAUAGAUCCACGUAUUUGUUAGACAAUACAACCCCCCUCCAAAAAAAAAUGUUGAUUUAAGAGUAAUCCAUCAGAUGUCAACAACAACAAAGAAAGCAUCUAGCAGGAAGGGUGCACAAGAAAAAGAUUCCAUGAUGCGUGUCUAUAACACAUGUAGCCCAAUGAGAAAUCCAGAAACCAGAAUAGAGGGUGUCUACCACCAGAAUAACAGAAUAAAAGUAUAAUGUACUGCAUAUCUUCUCUAUAAGUUUAUUCAAUUAAUGCAUCCUUAUCCAGCAUUAUGAUGUGUAUACACAUAUAUAGCCUAUAGAAGUCAAACAAAGCAUGUUAUGUCAAAUAAAGCAAAUAUGCCAGCCCUAUAAUAUAUAAUACAUUGGCAUAUUGAAUACAAAAAGGGAAGAGUUUGUGGUACAACUGCACAAUGUGAGAUGCUUAAAAUAGAGCCUUCAAAUCCAUGAAAAAAAGCACAUGCAUAGAAAGAAAGAACACUUACAUGAUGGUUGUGUCACCAGACGUGUGUUUGCUAGACCAUCUUCUUCUCCUUUUAGGUAUUCUUCAUCUUCUUCUUCCUCGGUGAAAUUGGAUGCAUGGCGACCCCUUAAUGCAUAAACAUAAAAUGUUAGGAUAAGUUCCUUUAUGCAGCAAAAAGUCAGUGUUGUCUCUUUAGUGCUCUUCUGAAAUCAGACUCAGAGAACCACCAGUAGCUCUGCUAUGAUGUUAACAUAAAAGACAAAUGUAUCAAUUUUUAGAUUAGUUGAUGCUAGUUUAUCUCUAUGAUUUCCUUGGCCACCUAGCAUAUAAGAAUUUAUAUGCACCCUUUUAAAGAACUUUAAACUUUUGAAGGUAUAACUUAUAAUGUCAUCUAGACGCCAAAUGCAAUAAAAUUCAGAGCAAGAACAAAGGAAAAAGAGGAGACAAAUUGACAUGGACAUGGGGUAAUUCACAUAAAUUUUAGGAAUAUACCUUCCCCUUGACUUCUUCUGAGACGAAGAUUGAUCCCCUUUUGCAAAAUGAGCAAACAGCUCAGUCUGCUGCAAGAGAUACUUCAGACGCCCCUUCCCUCUAUUGUUCUGCAUUAGUUGUCGGUUCAUUUACUUAGCGAUCAUAUCAAUACACUAUAAUACAAAAAGAAGUUGAAUUGUCACAGAACUAAACGUACCAUGUCAGCGUCAAUGGCCGCAUUCUGUACAUCCAGUAUCUCCUGAAUCUUCUGUUUCUUCAUUUUCUGCAUUUCUUUUAAUCUCGCCUUCUCUCGCUUGCUAAUUUCGGGAUCAACAUUAUCCCCAUCCUAUAGUCAAACAACAAACGCUUAGGCUUUAGGUUUCCCCUUAAAUUCGCGAGCCAAACAAAAACAAGUUAAUUCGCGAGCACGUUGCUUCUCACACUCUCUCUCUUCAGCAUACACCGCAUUUUCACGGACACACAAGGCAAGUAAACACAACUUCAAAUACAGAAUAACAGUCUCGAAUCUCGAUAGCAACUCAAGCAUGAGCAAAGAAGCAGUAAAGUAUAAACCCUAGAACAAAAUCGAGUAACGAAGUACGAACAAUAUUGUAAGACUGAGAGGAGACUUUGACCUGGUCAUCGUCAGCGUCAUCGGCGGCUGGAUCUUCAUCGGAGUCCGGCGGAUUGUCGCCGGCGACUUCGUCGUCGUCGUCAGCAGAACUGGCAGGGCGCGCCACCGCCUCGAGCUCCUCCUCGUCUUCCUCUUCGUUGAUCUGCUCGUUGACUUGCUCCUCUUCAUCGGAGGAACUCGAAGCAUUGGAGAGCGCUUCGUCGGAAGAUGAGUGUAGCUUGGAAGGUCUCGCCAUGGAUUUUGAAAUCGAACUAUUCGAGGGUUUGGUCCAGAGAGAAAUUGAAAGAGGAUUCUAAGUUUGAGGAAAAAGUAGGUGGUUGCUGUGUUUGUAGCCGUUGGAUUAAGCCAGGUUACGACGCCAAAUGGAAAUGGGGAUUUCCCGCCAUUGAUGUGGAAAUGCAUUUUGCCGCUCAGGGCCUGUCUUCAAUGGACAGCUGUGCCUUAGGCCCAAAUUAUGAAGCCUGAUAAGAAAAAGAGUAGCAAAGGGAGAUUUGUUAUUAUUAUUCUCACAAUCACAAUCAUAAUUCAAAUCCUUUCUUUAGUUUAAUUUUUUUUGGUUAUUAAUUGUACUUUUUAUCGCCAAAAUUUUAUAAUGUCUUAAAUUUUUUCCCCCAAACUUAUUUUUCAUGAAAUUUGCCUCCUGAUUUGCAAAACAUCACAAAUUUUCCAUCCACAUAAAAAAAUCACCACAAUUAAGACAUUUUGUGACAAUUUUUCCUUUAAACUAACACAAUUAAGAAAAUAUUGUGUCUUUUUUUUCAAUUGUGUCAGUUUUUAUAAAUGGGGGGAAAAUUCUAAUGUUUUGUAAAUUAAGGCACAAAAUUCGUAAACAUUGUAAAACUUUUGGAAUAAAAAGUGCAAUAAAACCUAUCUUUUAUGCAAAAAAAUCUUAAACAUAAAUAUAUUUCCAUUGUUCAUAAUACACAACAGAGGCAUGUAUUUGUUUGAUUGCAGGGUGGAUUUUACAAUUCACAAUGAAAACGUAUUUUUUGUUUUAUUUGUUUAAAACAUAACAAAACAAAACACAUGUUUUUGAUGUGUAUAUGCCACAAUGAAAACAUGUUUUCAUGUGAUUAGCAACAAUGGGAAAAAACAGGGAAAAGAAGAAUAUGACUUACCAUGAGACAAAUGUGCUAAAGCGAGGUGUGGCAGCAUGAGUUGUGUUAUGCAAAGUUAACGAACACAACUAUCAACAUUGAAGGAUAACGAUAGAGGAAAAGAAAGGAGAACGAUGUGUGGAAGUGUGUGUAGUGGGAUUAAGGUGAGAUAAAUAAAUAGGAAGGGGAAGUUGGCGUGAGAAGAUGGAGGGCAAAAUAGGAAAUUUAUUUCUACAAAAUAAAAUGGGAUGUGAACUUUACAUAUAAAGAAGUGGAAAUAACAAUAUUUGUAGGAAAGUUUCAAUUUGGGUCAAGGAUAGAAGGGCCCAUAAUAGCGGGAGUUGCCGAGUUUGACUGUUGACUGAUUAAAAAAAUAGUAGUGAGAUUUCAUUCAGUAAUGGUAUAAAUUUUAUUACAAACAUUUAUAAUAUUUUAAACAAAAAGUAUUAAGUAAAAAUUAAAUGUAUUCAAUGUCUUCAAAUUUUUUAAAUUGCUCAAUGAUUUUUAUUUAAUAAUUAAGAAGAUUUUGUAGAAUAAUUUACAAUUAUAAAUUUAAUUAUUACACAAUAAAGAUUAUCACCAAGAGUGAUUAAAGAUACCAAUUACCAAACAUUCAACAUUUGAAUUAUCAAUUUAAUAACCAACUCAACUCGAUCUUGUCUUUGAUUCCAUUCAACCUGUCAAUCUGAGUCAUUUUUUUCAAAUCUUAAGUAAAGACUAUUUUUUAAUUUUAUAAUUAUUAAUAUGAAUUUUACUCUCAGUAACAUUUUUUAUACACCAUAAUUUUUUUACAUAUUCUUGAAUAUUUAUUUUUAAAAUUAACUUCACAUUCGAAGUUGAUAUGUAUCAUGCAAAUGAAGUAAUCAUUGCAUCGUAUGCAAAUAUUAGCUUGGAUGAAGUUUUGUGAUGUUAAUUUCAACUCAAGAAAUGGCACAAAGCUAGAGAGUUAUAUGAAUUAGCUAGGGUGGAAAACAACAUUUGUACCAAGGAUGUACCAUUUUUUUAAGAAUUGUUUUUGGUAAAUUUAUAUCAAAUGUUUGUGUGAAACAAUGAAAAUGUCUUGACAAACAUUGUACAACGGUUGAAAUAUGCAUUUUAAUAUGUAAAGAAAAUAAAAAUAAAGUCAAUUUGUAGGUCAUAAUUGUGAUCACAAUAAUUAUUAAUAUCAUAUUGUUAUUAUUAUUAAAUCAUAAUCAUCAAGACAAUAACAACAAUAUAAUAAUUAUAAAAUUUUUCAUAAUUAUGGUUAUUGUUAUUAAUGUCAUUGUAAUGUUGUUAUUCCUAUUUUUGAAUUUCACCCCCUUAUUAUUGUGAUUAUCAUACAAUGGCAUGUAUCAUCAAAUGAGCUUGAAUUAUGAAGUAACAAAUAAUAGUUUAGUUUGAAUUUAAAAUUGAAAAAAUAAAAACCACAAAAAAUGGAAACAAAAUUAUAAAAUUAAAAAUCAAUUUUUUAAAAUCCAAAGCUUAAAACUAACAACCAAAAUGGACCCAAUAUAAGUUAUAUAUGCUUAUGGCUUGAUUCAAUCAUUAUAAAUGGGAACAAAAAAAAAGUUUUUGUAUUAACAAUUGAUUGGAUUUUUUAAAAAAUAAAUUCAAAAUUUUGAACGAUCUCGUCCAAUUGCUCGACGGUUUUAAUGGCCCAAGGAAAUCAAAAUAUAAAUGAAUAAUAUGAUUAUUUUUUUUAAGUUACCAGAGAGGGACAAGUGAAUAAUAUAUUUAUAUAUAUAUAUUAAUCAUAAUUAACAUUAAUAAUUAAGAAAUAAAAAAUAGUGAGAGUCAAACUAAUUCCCACCACCAAUUAUAAAUUUAUGUAUUCACGAAUAUACCCCCAUGUGUAUUAUUUAAAUUUAAAGUAUUUAUAAUUUGUUUCAAAAUAUUUUAAAAAACAAAAAGAAGGAUAAAAUUGCAGCUAUUUUUUAAAAUAAAAAACGAAUUAAGAUAUUAAGUAAAUAUAAUAAAACAUGUUUUAAUACAACAUCUAAUAAAAAAUUAUUUAAAUACCAGAUAUUAACCGAAUAUUUUUAAAUUUUAUCCACUAAAAUAAAUAAGGAAUAGAUAGAAAAAUCUCUAAGAAAUUAAAUAAUUAUCAGAAUUAUCAAAACAAACUCUAUUAAUGAAUUGUGAGCAACUUAUUAAACGUGAAUAAACAAAAUUAUAUUAUAGAAGUUGAAAUAUGUUUUUUUCCUUCUAAAAUAUUUAAAUUCAGUUCCUUAUAAAAUAUUUAAAUUUUGUUUUUACUAUAAUUUUUGUGUUUGUAUUUCGUCUUGCAAAAUUAUAUUGUGUAAAUUUUUUACUUGGAAUUAGAUUUAGACGAAUUAGAACCUAUGUAAUAUUUGUUUUUUUAGAGAAAAUUUAACAUGCUUAUCAUCUUUUUUCCUUUUUCCUUCCUCUUUUUCAUGUUCUCCUCCAAUGAGAUUACACCCACUCAAUCCUCUCAUCAAGACCCCUUUCAGCCCUUUAUGUCAAAAUUCACUAAUACUCUUGUAAUAUCUUCUUCAUCCAAACUAUGUUGUUGUCACUACCAUCAUUCUUAGACCCUCCAAAGAAUUGUAUAGUUGAGUUUCUUGAUUUGAUUUUCUCUCACAAUUCAAGAGUUCUAAAUCAUGCUAUCUAAAUCUAGAGAGGAGGACUUAAGACUACUUCCUAUCUCAUGAAUCUUAGAUUUAUUAUCUCAGGUUUAAAUUUGAUACUCCAAACCUACCAUCUAUACUAAUAAUAAAAGAAAUAUUUCCAUUUGAGGUAUACAUUUUAUUAUACCAUUUUAUCAUUUGUUAGUUUUUAUUACUUCUCUUGUAAUAAUUAUCUACUAUUCUCAUGUUUUCUUUUAACUUCUAAUAAUUUUUUCUUUUUUCUUUUUAUUUUUAGUUAAAAUAGACAAAGAAGUGCGAAAUGCCUCUCUCUCCACUAGUAUAAUAUAAUAAUAUAAUUUUAUGAGGAUGAAAAAUACAUAAAAACUUUUGUAAAGACUAAAAACAAAUUUUGAAUAUUUUAUAAAAAAAAUAUAUAUUUUAACCAAUAAAAGACAACGAUCACAAUGAAAUGUUUUAUUUGAUUGAAUUAUCCUUCAACAUCUGAAAGAUAAAAUAAAUUGAGUAUUUUAUUAUUUUAAUAAUGUUGUUGUUUCAAAUUGAAACUUUUCACGAAACUGAAUAUUCCAAGAAGAAAGAAGAAAAUUGAAGAACAAGAGGCUUGAGGGACACACACUCAAUAAUUCACAUCCAUAUACUUAUACCCAAUCUCAUCCAUCCUCGUGGCAAUUAAAUAUUAAAUAACAGCUGAGUCAAUCAGAGUGUUCCAGUACGGCACGAAAUGACUAAAUCAACCCCUGCGACGUCGUAUUUGCACUGCUUCUUCUUUUCUUCAAAUUAUUAUUGUUACGACUCUUUGACUUCUCCUUCAUCUCUUUGGCUGGAGAAAACCCUUUUCGCCGGAAAACCCACCGCAACCUUCGCGGUUCGCGAUUCCGCUUCCGGUUCCACCGUGCUCCUCUUACACACGUAUUCAACUAUUCAAUUUUCUCUUUAACGUUUCCGUUUUCUCGGAACACGUUCCCAAUUUUUUCCCCCAAUUGUGGUUGGUGUUGAAGUGAUUGAUAUUUUUCUUUAUAAAAAAAUGAUUUUUUCUUGCUUUGAUUUGUGUACUUCAAUUGCAGAGCAUAUGGGAAAAACUAGUUGGUUGAUAAUAUUGGUUACUUGUUUGUGCCUGCUUGCCUUUUCUGAUGGUAGAGGUAAAGCUUGAACUUUUGUGUUAAUGUUCUAGGGUUUGCGACAUUGUUUGUCUUGUUUCUCUCUGUUAUCUUUCAAUUCAUUGGAUUUUGUUUAGUUUUGUCUGCAAAUUGGAUCAUUCACGUUUGCAUAACAAUAAUGAAAUGUAAUGUCUUUUCCAUUUGCAGAACUCAAGGUUAGACAUAAAAAGCCUCAUUACCAAUACAAUCAUACGCUUGCUACAAUAUUAGUGGAAUAUGCUUCUGCGGUGAGUUUUAUGGGAAUUUUAUAUGUUCAACCUUUAAGAUGUGUAGGCAAAUGAUUUAGAAUUGUUUAUGUGUAUUAUUUGUUUUCUAAUCUUAUAAAUCAUGGAAUUGAAGGGUUAGCCAUGGAAUUGAAGGGUUAGUCAUGAAUUUGAGAGUUGGGAUUGUGAUGUAAUUUUAGAGUUUCAACUCCCUUUCUCUCUGUCUCUAAGCGGUUUAGUAUUUUAUAACUUUAAUGAUAAGUCUGAUUUAUGGGACUUUCAUUGUUUAUAAUAAUUCAGAAUUCCCAAAUACGUAUUCGAGACAGCUUUAGGUAGGCCACUUAAAACCAUACCCUCUUUCUUUUACUGAUAAACAGACUCAAUGAAUUUAUAUUUGCUUUGCAGAACUAAACUAAUUUAAGAAUUGGGGAACUUUCUCUUGUGCCGAUCCUGAUGGAGAGACUUCCCAUCUCUAUCAGGCCAUGGUCAAAAUAAGUCAAAGGGGGGAUAUAUUGAAGUAUAUCAUAAUAACUUCAGAAUUUAACUAAUUUCACUUGCCUGAUGCAGUGAUUCUGAAGUUUCAUUACAUCCAUUAGCCAAUUUGUUUAGGGCACUGGGAAUUCUGAAUAAAUUAUAUAAGGGACUAAGGUAGGUUUGGUUCUUGCAGGUAUACUUGUCAGAUUUAACUGAACUUUUUACUUGGACGUGCUCUAGGUGUAAUGGCUUGACCAAGGUGCUGAAAAUGUGAAUAUUGAUUUUAACUUUACAUGUUCACUUACGUCAUGAGUCAACUUUGAAUUAUUUACAUUCUGGUGUACUACUAAUUUGUCUGUUUAAAAUGGUUGGUCUAAAGAUCUUUAAAAUGGAAACAGGGAUUUGAAAUGAUAGAGUUAGUUGUUGACGUCGAGCAUUGCUUACAGGUGGGCGCUCAUCAUAGAAAAAAUUAUUCCAAAGUUUUAUACUAAUAUACUUUGUUUUAAUAUAAUUUUCAUUACCUAUUCUAGGCAUUUGUUGGAGUGGCUGAUGAUCCUUGUGCCAUUAUCAUUGCAUUCAGAGGAACAAAUGAACACAGGUGGACUUUCUUACCGGAUUAAAUUUACUUUUUAUGGAACUUUGGGCUCACAACUGUAUAGGCACCAUUAAAAUGGAUCUACCAGAGUGCAAUACCACAAUGUUGUAUGUGAUUCCUAGAACAGGCACUGUUAUGCUUUAGAAACAAGAAUGGUUUGCUUAUGCAUGUGAAUUUUGUAUGAUGUUCAUAUGCUGGUAUGCAUGCAUUGAUGGAUAUGUAAUUGUAAGCUAAGCAAAUGCAUUUAACUUGAUUUACUGUGCAUGCAAUGUAUUAUUGGCACAAUGGUGUCUUGAUUAUUUAAAUCAUAGGUGGUUAAGUAAUAUAUUGUUUCCAUAUUUAUGUGCACCAGGCAUGUGGGCAUGCCUUCUUUUAGACCCUAAAUUGAUCAGCAACAUUCUUUAGUUUUGAAAUAGUGCAGAUGGCCAUCCAGAUGUCCUAUCAUGUUUGAUUUGUUUGUACAUUAUAGAUUGUGUCUAAAGCCACAUGUGCUCUCAUAUAUUGACAUUGAGAAAGUCAGAGCAUAAUUAUCUAUAUGUGAAAGAAAUGCUUGGUCAUUGUGCUUCUUAAGAGAACACAAGUUCCCUUCUAUUGUUCACCUUUGAGAGUAUUAGAGUAUAUAGCUUGUCUACUAAGAGAACCAAUAAUUUUCCUAUAGAGAAAAAAAAGAGUCCAAAAAUAUAUGUUAAUAAGGAAACAUUUCAAGUCUGUCAGAUGUUUGGCUUACCUACGAGGCAACUUCAGUUAUAUUCUGAGCUGAUUUCUUUGUAACCACUUUUAUACAGCUUACAGAAUUGGAUUGAAGAUUUAUAUUGGAAGCAGCAUGAUAUAAAUUAUCCAGGCAUGGAUGAUGCAAUGGUGUGUAAAAGCUUAGCCUUAGGUUAUGCUCAAUUUCUCUGUAUUGGUGUUAGUUCUGACAUAUUGUUAUCACUGUCUCCAGGUACACCGUGGUUUUUAUACCGCAUACCACAAUACAACAAUACGUCCUGCAAUUUUAGAUGCUGUUGAAAGAGCAAAGAAGUUUUAUGGAGAUAUUGAAAUUAUAGCAACAGGGCAUUCAAUGGGAGGGGCAAUGGCUUCAUUUUGUGGACUUGAUUUAACGGUAAUUAUAGUUUAGCUGUCUUGGCAUGACGGGGCAUUAUACAACAAGGUUUUAUGGUCUCAAUCUCCCUUCAAUUUUUUUUUGCAUAAGUAUUGUCUAUAUUUUGCCUGAGGCAGGGACUUUGAAUUUCAUGUGGAAGUAUCAUAUUUGGAAAGUGUUUUAUUUUUUUAUUAAUGUUAGAAAUUUAUAUAGCUUGUCCUAGGCUUGGGUAAAAGUGGAGUGCUAUAUUAUGCAAUCGAUGGCUAAUAUGGAAAUUUGUAAAAUCAUUUAUGUUCUGGAUCAAUGAUGUUGCAGCGCACCUUUUGAGGAGAAAAUGACAAACUUUCCUAAGAUGGCACUAGUUUGGUCACGUGAAUAAUAUCCAAAGUCCAAACUGCAAAAUUGUGUUAUUAUUACUUUUUAAAGACCAUUAUUUAAGUUCUCAUGUAGUCAUUUCAAGAUUUCUGUAUUUUAUAGGGACGAAAUGGUUACUUAUUUGAUUUUACAUUCUUACAGGUAAAUCAAAAUGAAAAAAAUGUUCAAGUUAUGACAUUUGGACAACCUCGUGUUGGAAAUGCUGCUUUUGCAUCUCUCUAUACCAAACUAGUUCCAAAUACCAUCCGAGUCACAAAUGACCAUGAUAUUGUACCUCAUUUGCCUCCAUAUUAUUAUUAUUUACCGCAGAAGACAUACCACCACUUCCCAAGAGAGGUAGGGCAUGGCAUAAUGAAAUGAUGAAAUUUGUAUACUAAACCUGUUAUAUUGUCUUUAAAUUAAAGUCAGCUUGUCUCCUUGUUUGUGGGAAUUUAUGACUAUGUCAUCUGCUGUUUGUCCUUUGGUAGCCAUUAGAUAUUUUUGUGAAUAUUGGAAAUAUUUUUUGCAUAUCUUUAUUAAUAUUAAUAUAUUAAAUUGCACCUAGUUAUAAAUGGCCACUCUUCUGUGCGUUUGUAAUAACUCUCAUCUCCUUCAUUGCAGCCAUAUUUUUCCUACCCAUUCAAAUUCUGUGUUUACUUGUCACUAAAAUCUCCCUCUUCACCAUUUCUGAUAGUUUUGAAAACAUUAGGAAUAAUGCUUGCAUGUUAAUUUGUUUGGACAAUUAUAGUUUGGUGCUUGUGUGUCAUUUUGGCGUGACUUAAUUUGAGAUACCAUCUCUCCCCUGUGCCCCCAGCGAUGUGAAUGUGAUAGAGGUUCCCAUUUCCAAGCUCUUAAAUAUAUAUAUUUUGUGCCUUAUCUGUCUGCUUGUUUGUUGCUUGGACAACGCAAUAACUUUAGUGUUGGUCAUUCUGUUGUCAUGAUCUAUGACUCCUUGUUUAUUUAUUGUGGGGAGUGCAAACCUAUGGCACUUGUUUAAUUUGUUUUCCCAAUUGUUCAAGAACCUAAGAACUUGUGGACUGCAGGUUUGGCUUUAUAACAUCGGAUUAGGUAGUCUUGUGUACAACGUUGAGAAGAUUUGUGAUGAAUCUGGUGAGGAUCCGGAUUGCAGCAGGUUAGUCUAUCUGUUCUGCCAUAAUGCCGCUAAAAAUGUAGACUUCAUGAAUUUGCCACUGCAUGGGUGUGAAUAAAAUUUAAGAGUUUCCCUUAAUUUUGGUGUUACGAUCGAAUGCUGCUGAAAUUUGAUUUGGUUAUCUAAUGCAGGUCGGUGACUGGGAAUAGCAUUGCUGAUCACUUAGUCUAUUAUGGCGUAGACAUGGGAUCAGAUGAGCCUAGUUCAUGCAGAAUUGUUAUGGAUUCUCAUGUUCAGAAUACUAGCAUCAGAGAUUCAAGAGGAAACUUAAUCUUGUCCAGAGAUCCUGCAACCCCCCUCAUCAAAUUGGGUGGAGAGGGUGACAAUCAGGAAAAUCCCAUUAAUGUUGAUUGAAUUGGCAUUAGAUAUCUCUUGCAUGAUAUGUUCCAGAGGUUUGCUGUGGGGCAUUAUACUUCAGAUUUAUUUUUUCUUCACGGUCCAUACAGCUGAACAAUUUUAUUGAAUUGGCUAGGGCUGGAAGGAGUUUGUAUAGUCUUUGACUCGUGUAUAUAUGUUCAUCCUUGUAUAUAUAAUUAAUAAUUCUAUAUUUUUUACUGCAUAAGUAAUAAUUCUUGAUACUUUGUCAAUUGUAUAAUUUCACUUUCAAAUUCUACUGAAUUCCACUCCUCAUUUGGGUGAUAAUUCUUUUUACCCAUUGUCGUAUCCAAAGUUUAAUUUUACUCAAUUUCUCUGUUUCUCCAAAGUGUCUAUUAGGCUAAUUUUUUUAAUUUACAUUUUGUUCGGAGAUAUAUUUCCAUUAUCAACCACUUUAAAAUUGUGGAUUUAUUCGGUGUUGGCAAUAAUCACAAUCAUAACAUGACAUAAUUUGUCAAAAACUCUUGUAUUAACUAAUUUGUAAAAACUCUUGUAUUAACUUCACUAAAGUUAAUUUUUAACUUUAUUUCGUUUCUCUUCUUAUUUUUGUCUUUUAUAAGUGCUCAUGAUGAGAAAUUUGUCCAAAUAGGGCUUAAACUCAUUUGGAUGUGUUUGUUCAUUCAAACGUGUGUAUUCUGCCUUAAACGUGAAUUUAAUGUGAUUUUUAGAACAAUCAGACCUAAAACUAAACAUGCUAUAGGAGUGGGGAGAAAGAGAGAAAAUGCAUGCGAGAGGAGAAAAACUAGUUUUUUUUAGAUUAAAAUAUAUUUUUCAUCCUUGUGAAAUUGAUAAAAUACUGAAUACACAUUUGUAAAUUUUUUAUUAGUUUUUCAUUCUCAUAAAAAUAUAAUGUGUCAUUUUUUUUUAUAAGAAAUAAGGUUUGAUUAUAUCUGAAUCUAUGAUAAUGAUUUUUUUUUACAUUGAUUAUACAUAUAAUUGAUGUAAAAAAUUUAUACAUAUAAGUUUGGAUCAAAUAUCUAAAUCUUAUUUCAAACAAAAAAUGACACAUUAUAAAUUUAUGUUGACCAAAACUAAUUACAAGUAGGAUAAAAUCUGAAUUGUCAUUUUUACAAGGAGAAAAAAUAUAUUUGUUUUUUUUAAACUCUUUCACUUGAUAAUUUUAUAAAAAGUUACUUAUUUUUCUUUUAUCUUUUUAAUAAAAUUAAAAUACUUAUUUUUUUAAAGGAUUUUUCAUAAAGUGGAUUUGACCCAUUUUUUAUAGACUUUACAAUGUUAAUCUGAAUAUACAAAUUUUGUCAGGCUGUAUACUGGUUUUGGUAGAGUUAUCCAUCAUGAAUAACUUAUUUGAGGCAAUUUUUCUUCUUCUUAGGACUCUUUCCUCCUUUGAUUUACCAAAAGAAAAGUCAAAUACAGAAGAUCCACUUUUCGGAUAAAAUAGAUUCUGCCCAUACAGUAGACAAGUAGUAACUUAGUGGCCUAUAAUUUGUUCAAAAUUAAAAUGAAUCCCGUAAGUCUACAUUAAAAACGUGAAAAAUGUCCAACCUUCAAAAAGUUUAGUUCGAAUUGGCACAUAAAAUAAAAAUGGACAGGGUUAAUAUUUGUAUUUGAUAACCAAUUUACGUAUUCAUGUAAGGAUUUAUUAUUAUUUUUUUUCUUUUGAGAAAUUGAAUUUAUUCUUUCUUUCUACUAAAUUAAUCACGUCAAUUAAAUCAACGAUUAAAAUAAUAAGAGAUUUGACGGUACAACAUACUUAACGCUGAGGGUUAUAGAGCCCUCAUCCUCCUUGUCCUUGAUGAUACUUUUUCGACCUUCAUUUCUUUCCAUUAAUUAUUGAUAGCAUUAUAACAAAGAGGUUGCUUGUCCUUCUCUAGAAUUUUCAAAUUAAGUUUCAUUUAAUUUGUUGAUCUCACGAGUGAUGAAAGCUACGAUAAUUACAAUAUCAUUGUCAUCGGUAACUAUGCUUCUAUGUUAGAGAAUAUUAAAAAAAAAAACCUUACUGUAUUUUUAGGAUAUUGAUUAAGUAGAAAAUACUUAUUAUAUAAAUAUAUGAUAGUGUAAAAAUGAUAAUAGAUAACACAAAUUUUCACCUUCCAAUAGAAAAAUCAUGAUUAAUAAAUUAAAAUGAGUAAAUAAUUAUUGUGUAAAUUAUAAGAAAAAAUAUUUAUUAGUUAACAUUUGCCUAUUUUAAAUUAGAAUUACCACACUUUAGAUUCUCAUAAGAAAGAAAAGAAUGAAUGAAGUACUAUAACUGUUCCAUUAUCUCCAACUUGUUACAUUUUGAGAGGACACAGAAAAGGGAAACGAAGUAUAAUUAAAUCCAGGAUGAAAGAUCAACACAGACCACAAAAGCUAUCACAUAAAAGUAACCAGAAUGAUAUCUGUAUUAUCUCCAAUUGCCCUUAAUCUCCUCUGGUUUUUCACAUCUUCGCUGGUUGUUGGAUUCUCUAUUGUCCCUGCUGCACAACAAACAUGUCUCCAUAAAUUCCUUUCACACAACUAGCACUUGUGACUAAUUAAUGUGUGAAAUUUUGUUAACCCCACAUACCUCCUCAGCUUUCAUAUCCUUUUCUUCACCUUCAGAGGUUGAAGUGUUUGUGUCUUUUAUGUCUUCUUCUUUCUUCACACUGACAUCCUCUGUACACAUAUAAAAGCAAAUUAAAAUUUUAAAAAAUGAUUCUCUCAUAAGUCGUGAAGGAAGAAAUUAUUACAUGACAUGCAGUUGAGUUUUAUUAGCUUUUUCCUGUAAAUCAAAAAACUUGAUUACGUGUCACAUAAAAAUUAGUUAUGACUAUGGACAUAUGAUGGUUUCAACCACGCAAUAAUUUCUCCGUAAAGGGGUAUGAGAUGACACAAGAGAAAUAGAAGAAAGAAAACAAGAUGUGAUGAGUAAUGUAAAAGAGGAAAUUAGAAAAGAGAGAGAAAGGGAAAUUCAGUGUUGAAGGGAUGUAAGACAAUGUGAUGUAAAAGAAUAAAAGUUGUUAAAAUUUAUACUCAAUCACUUGUGCUUGAAAUUUUUUAAGAAAAUUUUAUGCAAAAAUGACUAAAGGGUUCAAGGGAAUUUUAAGUUCCAUUUGAAGAAAACUCUAGAGGUUCAUUCUUUCCACACCUUUUUCAUUUUCUGCUGGCGUUUUCUCUUCUGUAGCAUCAUCAGUUUCAGCAUCAUUGAUCUUCUGUUCAUUCUCCUUCAAUGUAUUAUCUUUCUCAGACUCAGACUUCUCCUCUCCACCCUCAUUUUCCUCCUUCUCUUGCACAUUUGUUUUCUCAUCUUUACCUUUGACAUCAUUAACCACUACAUCAGACUCUUUGACACUUUCACUCUCCUUCUGUUCCACUUGUACCUCUGACCUCACAUUGUCAACAAUAUUGUUGUUUUUUGUGUCUUUGGUUUCUGUCCCAUUUUCCUGGCUGCUCACACCGGAUUUCUUGCGCUGGAGGACGGUGUUUCCUGAAGCAACAUCAUGUUUGGACUUCCCACAACCCAUGUCUUGGAUUAGUUUUCCUAGUUUUUAUGUGAUCUGAUUAAGGUAAUAAGGGAAAACACACAGAAACAGAAGGAAACUUGAGAUGAAGGUUGGAAUGUAACAAGUAAUAACUCUCUUUUAUAUGAAGAGGAGAGACAUGGUUUGUGUUGUUAAUUGUUAUGGUUUAACAAUGAAACUUUGGGUUGCAUGGGUGUAAUUAGGGGUCAUGGAACCAACUUUUUAUUUAUUUAUUUCCUGUGCUAUAAUUGGAACUUUGUUACGGCAAUUAGUUGCCUUCAUUGAUGGAAAAAAGACAAUGUAAAGUUGUUGGUUACAACUAGAAACUGCCUUAGCAAACCAACUUUGUUUUCUGUUUUUGGGUUUCCCCCUCCUUUCGAGAUUAGCAAUAUUGAGAUUUGGGUUCUAGGUUCACCAAGAAAGAGAAAAUACUUUGGCAAAAAUCCUUUUUGAAGCGUUUUCAAUAAGAUUUUGAAUUUUUGAUUAUAAAUUAUAUUGGAAUGGAAACUAAGCUAAUUCAAUAAAUGUCAAUAAAAAGUUUGUCUGGUUGAUCCUAGAGACUAGAGCACAUUAUUUUUAUUUUCAGCAAAUAGCUACUUAUAAGUAUUACAAUAUUUCUUUUAAUAUAACCCAUAUAGGAUGGAUCGAUCCAAGAGCACCUUAUUUUUAUCUAAUCCAUCUGGGAUUUGGUUUUGGUCUUUCAAAAAUAAUUUUCAACUAUUAACAAAAAUAUGCAUCCUUUAUGCCUGAAUAUGAUUUGGGGGUGCAACUGGCAAACUCAUGUUUGAGCUAGUUCCAACUCCGAGACCAACAUGAUUAUAUCAAGUGGAUUUCUUUUUGUGCCUUUUUUUUCUGAGGGCAGCCCUUUCUCACUCUCUCCUUCAACAAUACCCUUAUAUAUGUGGUUAAUUUUAUUGUUUUGGAAAUUAAAUUUGAAAGUGAGAAAAUUAUGUAUACUUUUGAAAAUUAAUUUCUAGAAGGGUUCUUACAUAGUUUUGAAAGUAGUGUUGAAAUUUUAUCACUUCCCAAACAUAAUUUAUGGAAUGAUAACACUAAACAAAUGUAAAAAAAGAAUAAAAAUUGAAAUAAAAAAAAAAAAAGAAAGAGAUGUGCUUAGAGAAAAAGAGUGUGCAAAAUGUAAUGGCCUUGUGUCGAAUAAGUGAUCACUGAAGGUGCAAGAGUAUAUAAUAACGAGCGCAUAUGAUGCUAAUUUAAUUUCAAGAGGCAAAAAGACUCAGAAAGAAACUAUAUUAACAUCCUUAUUUUGCUUAGAAAUAAAAUAAUUUGUUACCUCUACUAGCUCAAGUAUAGAAAGUCUUAAUAUGUUGUCAUUUGCCACUUACAAGGUUAACUAAGAAUCACAGAUAAUUGGGAUAUACUGCAUGCAAAAUCAGUUUCAAUCUUAACACAAAUUGCAGUGAAUGGAAAACAUAUUUUUAGCAGUGCAGAGAAACAAACACGGUUACUGCAGAAAACUGGCAAAGUUCAAUAAUAAAGCUGAAUGCGUUGCCUUGCAUAUAUAGUUGCAUGCUGAAAUCUAUAAUAAGGAGCCAAAUAUAUACAAUUGACUAGUUGGUAUAAAUAAUCGAUUAUGGUUCACAGAUGAGAAUCUUUACAUUACUAAGCUAAUGUGGAAGGAACGUGCUUACAUCUAUGCAUUGAACUUGGGCGAAAACUUGAAUUAUUUUCAUCCAUGAUCAAGUUCCAAUGCAAAAUUUAUUUGGGUGGAGAUGGCUUAUUAUACAGCAUUAGCUCACGUGGAAAUCGGUAUUAUUUGGGUGACAUAUUUUGUUAUGAAUAACGAAAGGGUAGGUCCCAGAAAAUGUAAAACUAUGUGAUAUAGGAGUGUUUUUAUUUUUACUAAAAAUAGAAAAUAAUGAUAAAUAUAUGUUUGGUUAGAUUUUUGAAAAUAUUUAUAAUGAAAAUGAAAAUAAAAAAUAACCCGCAAAUGAAAACAGGGAUCUCAUCUUGGGUAGAAUGAAAAUGAGAUAGCGUAAUUUUAAGCAAAUUUAAAAAUAUAAAAAAAAACAAAAAGUCAAUGUAUCAUAAAUUUUUAGUAUUUUUAUUUCCUAAAAAUAAAAAAUAAAAAAGUCAAAUCAAACAUAUUUUCAGAAUUCUAAUUUUUUAAAAAUGAAAACAGUUUUCAGAAAAUAAAAAUAGGAAAUGAAAACAAAAAAUAAAAAUGCAAACCAAAUACACCCCUAGUUCUUAAAACCAAAAAAAUUCAAAAUAAAUUCUUAAAUUUUUUAAUUGUUUAAUUUAAAUUCUUAAAUUUAACUACACAUUUGUUAUCACUUUAAACCCUAAACAUAUGUUAAUAUUAUAAUUUAAAUCAAACGAUCUUAUGAAUUUUGGACUAAAGUGAUGGGUAGAAUAUGACUUCUAAACCCUAAACAUAUGUUAAUAUUAUAAUUUAAAUCAAACGAUCUUAUGAAUUUUGGACUAAAGUGAUGGGCAGAAUAUGACUUCUUGCUUCCGGGAACUAAUGUGACAGUGAUAUACACUUCGGAUCAUAAUCCGAUAACAACAAUUCAUGUACAUAACAGAGUUGCAAAGCAAAAACAAAUCACAGGGGACAGAACAUUUUCAUGAGGAUUGGCAAGGAAGGGCCUAGGUUUAGAACUCAUUAAAAUAGAAUUGAUUCCAUUUCAUUUUAUUAAACAUGUUAUUUAAUAAGGAUAAAAAGAUUAAUCUAUACAAUUAAAAUCAAUACUCAGCAAAUCCUAGCAAAUAGAGUUAACAAAAUAAGGCAGAAAUUCAUGAAAUUUUAAAAUCAUUGCAUUUUUAUUUUUUUUACAUUAAAACACAAGAUUGGGCUAUUUUUCAGCAUUCCAAAUUCUCUCAAUAAUCUCUCUGAAAUCAAUAUGGUGCUAUACAUUGUAAAUUCACUCAAUAAACUCUAGCAUUUUAAAAAUUUCACAAUUCAUUUUACCAAUUGUAAAUCUAACAAUUUAUCCUAAUAGUCCAGCCCAAUGAUCUUCAUUUGAAUUACUUCAAAGUUCAAACAAUACGUCAAUCUUUGAACUCUAUUUUACAAAGUUAUACCUCACAACUCACAAGAGAAUCAGCUUAAUUGUUUUUAACAUCAAUCUGUCAAUAUAUUUGUCAAUCGUGUCACAAUAUUUCUGUACAGAGCACAUAUAAUCUAAUAUUGUAAAUUUGAGUUUCGUAGAUCACAGAGACGGACAUACCCCCCUACCCAAAAAUAAAUAAAUAAAUGAAUGACAUGAUUCAUGCGUGUGCCACUUGAUCAUGGUGCACGAAUCUCGAAGCCCAACACCCCGUGGUGUUUUUUCUCUCCCUUAAAAAAUUAGAAAUGAAUAAUUGAUGAAGAUGGCCCUUGAAAUUAAAAUUGCGGCGUCACGAUGAUAUCGAGAUCAAAUUAUUACUAGUCUAUCAAGUAGUUCAGUCCUUUGCUUCUUUCAUAAGAAUUUUUUAAGAAAAAUGUUUUUACAAGUUUUUUUAUUUUAUUCGUAGUCAAACUAUACUUAUUCAUCUACGUAUAAAGAUUAGAGAUUUAUUUAUUUAUAACUAAAAAAAAGAGAUAUAUUUAUUUAUAGAAUGUUUUUAUACUAUUUAACAAUUUUUUAUUUUUUAUAUUUCUCUUAAUUGCAGAAGUUUAUUUCUUCAAAAGUACUGCAACUGUCAUUGGGUCUAAUUCCGGAAAUUGAUUAAAUAAGACCCCCCAAAAAAAUAAUAGUGCAACUGCUGAGUCAAAAUUGUCUUACAAGACGGUUUGUUUUCUUGGUUGGCCUUUUCCAAAUCUAAAAAUCCCAUUGGUAGAUCCAACGGUCACAUCUCUUUCUGUUAAUUAUUGUUGAAACUCAUUACAUCCUCUUGUCUUCUGUCAUGCCAAUCCUUUCCCACCACACCACCUUAUCCUUUUUCUUUCUCUCUCUUACCAAGUGGAUACAUUCUAUUUCUUAUCAAUUUUGGUUAGUAGCCAAAGAUUUUUGAUACUAUUACAUUACAUUGCAUUAAAAUACUACUACAUAAUAACAACAAUGGCUUGCUCCUCCUCCUUCCUCUUUCUUUGUCAAUAUCAACACCAACAGAAUCUUCCCAUUUCAGGAAACUCUUCUCUCAGCCUUCCUUCCCGGCCUUUCUUUUCCAAAACUCAUGGAAGGUUCUAUCCUUGAACGUCUUGAUUUUGGGAAGAUGGGAUACGGGUACCUCAUCUUAUGUUAUUCUUCCAUGCCCUUAUUCUUUUCAUUUUGAUUUUUUUUUCGUUCAUUGUGUUUUGAUUUCGGAUCAAAGUUGGAUACAGUUCCUUAAGUGUUGUUUGUAUUGUUCUCCACUUAGAAUUGUUAAUUCGCGUAAUCCUUUUAAUGCAAACCUUUGUUAUCAGAAUUAUCGAGGUGAAAUUCCAAUUCCGAUUGAAAAAUAACACAAAAAACACCUAAGGAAUUUAUUUAAGUUUUGUCCAUUGGUUUCUUGUUUUUGAUGAUGUCAAUGGCCUUUUGUAGGUGCAAGCAUUAUAGAAGAAGAUGCAGGAUUAGAGCACCAUGUUGCAAUGAGCUCUACUUUUGCCGCCAUUGUCAUAACGAGGCAACGGUAUUUCUUGUUCUCACCCUUCUGUGUUUCAUCUCAAAAAACCUUGUCUUUUUGCUUUUAUCUGAUGUGGGUGUGUGUUGUUCCCCGCAUCAGAGCAUGCUGAGCAACCCUUUUGAUCGGCACGAACUCAUUCGCCAGGACGUUCAACAUGUAAGGAUAAUUUAAUGUCCCACUUGAUAUUCAUUUUCCACACUGCCUUGGUUAUUGUUGCCUUUAUCAUGAGAUGAUGGUAAUAUGGUUUUUGCAUUUUGAUGUUGUUUCAGGUUGUUUGUACAGUUUGUGACACAGAGCAGCCAGUGUGUAUCUAAUAUCCAUUCCCAUUUUGAUUAAAAACUAUGUUUUCUUUUUUAAAUGUUUCAUUUGUUUCUUUUGAAGGUUGCUCAAGUUUGCACAAACUGUGGUGUCAGAAUGGGAGAAUAUUUCUGCAGCAUCUGCAAAUUCUUCGAUGAUGAUGUAAGGGGUCACUGAACGAAUCUACAGUAUAUGAUUAAAAUUUGCUUCAUUAAUAUACUUAUAUUACUUUUACUUUGGGUUCUUUAUAUAUCUUGGGGAUGGACUUGUUUGAGAGUUGACAGUUGGUGUUUGCUUCUAGCCUGUGAUUGUUAAUCUUACUGUUUUCUAUUUGAUACUGAGCAUUGGUUACACAUUAUGCAGACCGGGAAACAACAGUUUCAUUGUGAUGAUUGUGGGAUUUGUAGGUGCGUUGUUUGUUCGUUUGAAUAAAUCCAUCCAUUAUGGCCUUAGUUAUCCGAGUUUAUGACAUGCUACUAAUUUUGGUGAUGAAAUUUGGAACAGAAUUGGUGGUCGAGAGAAUUAUUUCCACUGCAAUAAGUGUGGUAUGCAUUCAACAUCUAGCUACCAUUGUGUCUCUUUCAUUGCUUGAGUAUAAAAAAGUGUUUUUUCCUUUUUAAAUUAAGUUAUGCUGUAAAUUGUUACUUUCAAAUUGUUAAAAGAUUCAAUUCUUUCUUACCUUGCUUUUUUUUGAACUUAUUACCUCUUUAUCUAUUUAUGUGAAGUGCUGAAAUCACAUUUGAAUUAAUUUAAUUAUAGUAAUCAAUAGAGUUUGCAUGGUAAGUGUAUAUUCCAUGACCUGAAAGAAUUAAAAACCAUGCUAUCAGCCUCUUAGUGACACCAGAAGUUCAGAAGCACUGCUUUGUAUUGAUUAACUCUGCUGUUUUUUCCUGUAAUUGUGGAUUUAUUUUGAUUAUAGCUUCCAAAUCAUUUUUUUUUUGUAGUUGGAAUGGAAUUAUUAUUUUUUUUAUUACAGUAUGCGAGUUUCCUAAACUUAUAGCUUUAUUUUCGUUUUUGCACAAGUAAUUUCUUAUUUCAUGUGCUUGCUAAUGCAAUGGAGCUGAAAAAAUAUUUUUCAAACUCAUCUCUUGAUCUAUGGUAUCUGAUAAUUUUGUGAACAGUAUGUUUCAUUUGUGCUAUAAUUUUCUCUGAAUUUCUCUAAGAUGGAUUCUUUUGUUUCCUUUGGAAUUUAGAGGCACACCUAAUAAUCAUUCACAUCAGUUACUGAAUUUUUUGUUCUGUUAACAAAUCAAUUGCUCAAUACUAACAGGGUCUUGCUAUUCAACUAGUCUGCGUGAUAAUCAUAUGUGUGUGGAGAAUUCCAUGAGGCAUCAUUGCCCCAUUUGUUAUGAGGUGAGUGCAUUGUUCCCCUCUUUUCCUGUCUCAUGUUUUCAACCAAGCAAGGAAUUUCUAGCAUUUUGUCGUGAGAAACAUGAAAGGAUUCUGAUAUGACUUCAUUAUAUUGGUAUAGUACCUUUUUGACUCAUUGAAAGACACUGCUGUUAUGAAAUGUGGUCACACAAUGCAUAGUGAAUGUUACCUAGAGAUGCUAAAGCGUGACAAGUGAGUAUUAACUAUUUACCAAUUCUUCGGUCUAUGCUUAAUUAUUGAAUUGACUUGUUAAUAUACAUGGAUCAGGUAUUGUUGUCCCAUAUGCUCAAAGUCGGUGAUGGACAUGUCUAGGGCAUGGAAGAGAAUUGAUGAAGAGGUAGUUGGUUAAAUUAUAUAGAUGCUUUCACUUGAUUCCUUGGUUUUUAUAUGGUUCAAUAAUCUGGAAGAUUAUUUACUGGCAGAAAUGAUGUAGUACAAUUAUGAUGUCUUACUCAUUUAUUUUUGCUAUAUUAGAUUGAAGCAACUGUCAUGCCUGAUGAUUAUCGGUACAGAAAGGUAGAGUUUUGCUCUUAGAAAUGCUUUUGAAUGCAUUCUACUUCUAUUUAUCUCCAUUUCAUGUGCUUUCUGUGAAAACCUGCAAAUUAGACUAGAAUGUGCUUUUAAAUUAUGAAUGCCCUUCUUGUCCUUUGUGUCCAUGGAACAAAGAACACCGUAUGGAUGAGUUAGACUUUCUAGCAAACCUACUUAUCUAAAGUUUGACAUGCCAUUUUAGGUUAAAUUACUCAGUUGAUCCUAAACUAUUUGGAAAAUUUCAAGCAGGUUCCCAAGCUAUUUUUUUAAAAAUCAUUUUAAUUUGAGAGUUGAAAAUUAUCAAAUAGUUUAGGGACUAAUUUAACUUAAAGCAUCUAAUUUAAUUACACAUGUAUAUAUCAUGGUUCUAUCAGAAGAUUUAUAAACAACAACCAUUGCAGGUUUGGAUACUCUGUAAUGACUGUAAUGACACAACUGAAGUUUACUUCCAUGUUCUUGGGCAAAAAUGUGGUCACUGCAGUUCAUAUAAUACUCGCGCUAUAGCUCCCCCUGUUCUUCCUCAAUGACCAGAUACUUAUGGUUUUGGAGACAAAUUUUUCCGGGCAGUAAAUUAAAAUUAUGACUCAUUUAUUGUAGAGCCUUAUUUGAUUCAUCAUCAAGAUUAAUGAUGUACUAUGCCCUGAAACUUAUCUUGGGUUAUUCUUCCUCCACCAUUUGGAGUGGGACUGGUGGUUUUGUUAUGAGGCACUAAUUGGGCUGAUAUAAACAUGGGUAUACUGUAAUAUAGAGAAUGUGGUUUAGUCAGCAUGAGCUACUAGUAAUUGUGUUUACUAGUGAUGUAUUGAUGUUGGAGGAUGGAUUGGCUUGUCUUUGCCAUUAUUGAAUUUAAUCAACACAACUCAAUGAUUUCUUCCCUGCAUAAAUCAAUCAUAUGCUAUUACCUUUAUAGUGAUUGAUUUGUUAUGAUUCAACGUACAUAUUGUGUUAUACAAUUCCAUUUAUCUAUAAUAACAAUCUCCUUUUCCCUUGAUCACUGCCAUAAGUUAUUCCACAUUAUCAAACAGAAUAGAUUUGGAAAGGGAAAUGAAUUGGAUUAAUUUUUUGAAUAAUUGCAGUUAAAACAAUGCUAUUUUUGGUGGUUACACUUUUACAAUCAAGUGAUUACUUGGCAUUGCUAAGUUUUGCUGUUUCUGCAAUGUUAAAUCAAAUCAACCUUCUUUUUCUUCAUGAUACAUAGGUUAUAAAGACUAUGAUAUGUUGAUAUUAGUUGAAUCUUGGAUGCUCCUUUUUCUGUUCUACAUGUACUCCGCAUAUAGAAAUCGAAUCAUUCAAAGCAAGUGCUCAAAAUAAUUUCAGAUACGUGAAAAACAAAGCAGUAGAAGAACUACAUAUACAAUAAAUUUAGAAUCAAAUAAUGUGAUUUAGAUGAUUAAAAAUACCCCCUUGAAUACCAGGGAGGAAGCCAAAUCUGAAAUUAUUUUGAGGUUUGUAGAGACUUUGAUAAAUUUGAUUAGAGAGUAUUAUUAUCAUCGAACAAAUCUGAACAUUUUUUAUACGUCGAAUUAUUAAAAAAAAUUAUGUUUAAAGUUAGAAUUUGUAAUUCAAAAUGCAUCAACCACGUACUAAGAUGCAGCAUAUGUCCGUACCCCAAAAAAUAAAAUAAAUUUACCAAAAAAAAAAAGAUGCAGCAUAUGUUGCACCUCCCUAAUAGAAACCAAAAUGAACC
This 30722-nucleotide long non-coding RNA is filed under the name Glycine max (soybean). RNAcentral describes it as "long non-coding RNA (GMAX_LNC003370)". The record is from RNAcentral. Lineage: Eukaryota; Viridiplantae; Streptophyta; Magnoliopsida; Fabales; Fabaceae.